AAGGCUUUAGCUUAAUUAAAGCACCUGUUUUGCACAUAGGAGAUGUGAGGUAAUAUCUCGCUAGUCUUA
Molecule: transfer RNA, 69 nt
Filed under: Regalecus glesne (king of herrings)
Lineage: Eukaryota; Metazoa; Chordata; Actinopteri; Lampriformes; Regalecidae
Description: tRNA-Ala
Rfam family: tRNA
About the family: Transfer RNA (tRNA) molecules are approximately 80 nucleotides in length. Their secondary structure includes four short double-helical elements and three loops (D, anti-codon, and T loops). Further hydrogen bonds mediate the characteristic L-shaped molecular structure. tRNAs have two regions of fundamental functional importance: the anti-codon, which is responsible for specific mRNA codon recognition, and the 3' end, to which the tRNAs corresponding amino acid is attached (by aminoacyl-tRNA synthetases). tRNAs cope with the degeneracy of the genetic code in two manners: having more than one tRNA (with a specific anti-codon) for a particular amino acid; and 'wobble' base-pairing, i.e. permitting non-standard base-pairing at the 3rd anti-codon position.
Source: RNAcentral